GUUUCCGUAGUUUAGCGGUUAUCACGUCUGCUUCACACGCAGAGGUCCCCGGUUCGAUCCCGGGCGGGAACA
Molecule: transfer RNA, 72 nt
Filed under: Schistocerca americana (American grasshopper)
Lineage: Eukaryota; Metazoa; Arthropoda; Insecta; Orthoptera; Acrididae
Description: tRNA-Val
Rfam family: tRNA
About the family: Transfer RNA (tRNA) molecules are approximately 80 nucleotides in length. Their secondary structure includes four short double-helical elements and three loops (D, anti-codon, and T loops).
Source: RNAcentral